This 226-nucleotide ribosomal RNA is filed under the name uncultured bacterium. RNAcentral's name for it is "partial 16S ribosomal RNA". It matches the Rfam family "Bacterial small subunit ribosomal RNA", at positions 524 to 751 of the family's 1533-position model. The record is from RNAcentral.
UACGUAGGGUGCAAGCGUUAAUCGGAAUUACUGGGCGUAAAGCGUGCGCAGGCGGUGAUGUAAGACAGGUGUGAAAUCCCCGGGCUUAACCUGGGAAUUGCGAUGGAGACUGCAAGGCUAGAAUCUGGCAGAGGGGGUAGAAUUCACGUGUAGCAGUGAAAUGCGUAGAGAUGUGGAGGAACACCGAUGGCGAAGGCAGCCCCCUGGGUCAAGAUUGACGCUCAUG